Molecule: ribosomal RNA, 759 nt
Filed under: uncultured Neisseriaceae bacterium
Lineage: Bacteria; Pseudomonadati; Pseudomonadota; Betaproteobacteria; Neisseriales; Neisseriaceae
Description: bacterial SSU rRNA
Rfam family: Bacterial small subunit ribosomal RNA
Source: RNAcentral
AUUGAACGCUGGCGGCAUGCUUUACACAUGCAAGUCGGACGGCAGCAUAAAAGAGCUUGCUCUUUUGAUGGCGAGUGGCGAACGGGUGAGUAAUGCAUCGGAACGUACCGAGUAGUGGGGGAUAACUGUCCGAAAGGAUGGCUAAUACCGCAUAUUCUCUGAGGAGGAAAGCAGGGGACCUUAGGGCCUUGCGCUAUUUGAGCGGCCGAUGUCUGAUUAGCUAGUUGGUGGGGUAAGAGCCCACCAAGGCGACGAUCAGUAGCGGGUCUGAGAGGAUGAUCCGCCACACUGGGACUGAGACACGGCCCAGACUCCUACGGGAGGCAGCAGUGGGGAAUUUUGGACAAUGGGCGCAAGCCUGAUCCAGCCAUGCCGCGUGUAUGAAGAAGGCCUUCGGGUUGUAAAGUACUUUUGUCAGGGAAGAAAAGCCUGAGGAUAACACCCUCAGGUCAUGACGGUACCUGAAGAAUAAGCACCGACUAACUACGUGCCAGCAGCCGCGGUAAUACGUAGGGUGCGAGCGUUAAUCGGAAUUACUGGGCGUAAAGCGAGCGCAGACGGUUAUUUAAGCAAGAUGUGAAAGCCCCGGGCUCAACCUGGGAACUGCGUUUUGAACUGGGUAACUAGAGUGUGUCAGAGGGGGGUAGAAUUCCACGUGUAGCAGUGAAAUGCGUAGAGAUGUGGAGGAAUACCGAUGGCGAAGGCAGCCCCCUGGGAUAACACUGACGUUCAUGCUCGAAAGCGUGGGUAGCAAACAGG